GGGGCAGGGUAGCCUAGUGGUUAGAGUGUAGAGGCGGCAGGGUAGCCUAGUGGUUAGAGUGUAGAGGCAGCAGGGUAGCCUAGUGGUUAGAGUGUAGGGGCGGCAGGGUAGCCUAGUGGUUAGAGUGUAGAGGCGGCAGGGUAGCCUAGUGGUUAGAGUGUAGAGGUGGCAGGGUAGCCUAGUGGUUAGAGUGUAGAGGCGGCAGGGUAGCCUAGUGGUUAGAGUGUAGAGGCGGCAGGGUAGCCUAGUGGUUAGAGUGUAGAGGCGGCAGGGUAGCCUAGUGGUUAGAGUGUAGAGGCGGCCUAGUGGGGUGUAGCCUAGUGGUUAGAGUGUAGAGGCGGCAGGGUAGCCUAGUGGUUAGAGUGUAGAGGCUG
This is a long non-coding RNA of Oncorhynchus tshawytscha (Chinook salmon), 374 nucleotides long. The record is from Ensembl. Lineage: Eukaryota; Metazoa; Chordata; Actinopteri; Salmoniformes; Salmonidae.